Molecule: ribosomal RNA, 301 nt
Filed under: uncultured bacterium
Lineage: Bacteria
Description: partial 16S ribosomal RNA
Rfam family: Bacterial small subunit ribosomal RNA
Source: RNAcentral
CAGUCGCCGCGGGAAUACGUAGGGUGCAAGCGUUAAUCGGAAUUACUGGGCGUAAAGCGUGCGCAGGCGGUCCGCUAAGACAGAUGUGAAAUCCCCGGGCUUAACCUGGGAACUGCAUUUGUGACUGGCGGGCUAGAGUAUGGCAGAGGGGGGUAGAACUCCACGUGUAGCAGUGAAAUGCGUAGAGAUGUGGAGGAAUACCGAUGGCGAAGGCAGCCCCCUGGGCCAAUACUGACGCUCAUGCACGAAAGCGUGGGGAGCAAACAGGAUUAGAUACCCCUGUAGUCCCUGUCUCUUAUAC